UACAGAGGUGGCAAGCGUUGUUCGGAAUUACUGGGCGUAAAGCGUGCGCAGGCGGCGCGUUAAGACAGGUGUGAAAGCCCCGAGCUUAACUUGGGAAUUGCGCUUGUGACUGGCGAGCUGGAGUGUGGCAGAGGGAGGUGGAAUUCCACGUGUAGCAGUGAAAUGCGUAGAGAUGUGGAGGAACACCGAUGGCGAAGGCAGCCUCCUGGGCCAGCACUGACGCUCAUGCACGAAAGCGUGGGGAGCAAACAGG
RNAcentral lists this ribosomal RNA (253 nucleotides) under uncultured bacterium. Its description in RNAcentral is "partial 16S ribosomal RNA". It matches the Rfam family "Bacterial small subunit ribosomal RNA", at positions 524 to 776 of the family's 1533-position model. The record is from RNAcentral.